Triticum aestivum (bread wheat) is the source of this 136-nucleotide non-coding RNA. The record is from Rfam. NCBI's taxonomy places the organism in Eukaryota, Viridiplantae, Streptophyta, Magnoliopsida, Poales, Poaceae.
AUUGUACUCCCUCCGUUCCAAAAUACUUGACUUCCAUUUGUCCAAAAAUGGAUGUACCUAUAUACUAAAACAUGUCUAGAUACAUAUAUAUUUUGACAAAUAGAAGGCAUGUAUUGUGCAACGGAGGGAGUAGAAU